UGAGGAAUCUUCCACAAUGGACGAAAGUCUGAUGGAGCGACACCGCGUGGAGGAUGAAGGUCUAACGACUGUAAACUCCUUUUCUGAAGGAGCAUAAUGAGAGUACUUCAGGAAUAAGGGACGGCUAAUUAUGUGCCAGCAGCCGCGGUAAUACAUAAGUCCCAAGCGUUACCCGGAAUUAUUGGGUGUAAAGGGUUUGUAGGCGGACAAGCAAGUUAGAUAUUAAAGACCGAGGCUCAACCUCGAGUUAGUGUUUAAAACUACUUGUCUAGAAUCAGGGAGAGGUUAGCGGAAUUCUGAGUGUAGGGUGCAAUCCGUAGAUACUCAGAGGAACACCAAAAGCGAAGGCA
This 350-nucleotide ribosomal RNA is filed under the name uncultured bacterium. RNAcentral's name for it is "bacterial SSU rRNA". It matches the Rfam family "Bacterial small subunit ribosomal RNA", at positions 355 to 723 of the family's 1533-position model. The record is from RNAcentral.